RNAcentral lists this unclassified non-coding RNA (377 nucleotides) under plant metagenome. RNAcentral describes it as "partial contains 5.8S ribosomal RNA, internal transcribed spacer 2, and large subunit ribosomal RNA". The stretch from base 1 to 104 matches the Rfam family "5.8S ribosomal RNA", at positions 51 to 154 of the family's 154-position model. The record is from RNAcentral.
AAAUGCGAUAAGUAAUGUGCAUUGCAGAAUUCAGUGAAUCAUCGAAUCUUUGAACGCACCUUGCGCUCCUUGGUAUUCCUUGGAGCAUGCCUGUUUGAGUAUCAUGAAAUCUUCAAAGUAAAUCUUUUGUUAACUCAAUUGGUUUCUACUUUGGUAUUGGAGGUCUUUGCAGCUUCACACCUGCUCCUCUUUGUUCAUUAGCUGGAUCUCAGUGUUAUGCUUGGUUCCACUCGGCGUGAUAAGUUAUCUAUCGCUGAGGACACUGUAAAAGGUGGCCAAGGUAAAUGCAGAUGAACCGCUUCUCAUAGUCCAUUGACUUGGACAAUACUUUUAUGAUCUGAUCUCAAAUCAGGUAGGACUACCCGCUGAACUUAAGC